This 467-nucleotide ribosomal RNA is filed under the name uncultured bacterium. Its description in RNAcentral is "partial 16S ribosomal RNA". It matches the Rfam family "Bacterial small subunit ribosomal RNA", at positions 28 to 507 of the family's 1533-position model. The record is from RNAcentral.
GAUGAACGCUGGCGGCGUGCUUAACACAUGCAAGUCGAACGGAGAAGCAGAGCUUGCUCUGUGGAGCAGUGGCGAACGGGCGAGUAACACGUGAGCAACCAGCCCAUGACUCUGGGAGAAGCGCUGGAAACGGCGUCGAGUACAGGACAUGAGAUGCAACCGAAUGGUCGGCAGAUGGAAGGAAUUUGCGGUCUGGGAUGGUCUCACGGGCUACCGGCUUGUUGGUGAGGUAAGGGAACACCAAGGCGUCGCCUGGUAGCCGGCCUGAGAGGAUGACCGGCCACACUGGGACUGCGACACGGCCCAGUCUCCUACGGGAGGCAGAAGUGGGGAAUUUUGCACAGUGGGCGCGAGCCUGAUGCAGCAACGCCGCGUGCGGGAUGCCGUCCUUCGGGUUGUAAACCUCUUUUUGCAGGGAAGAAGCGAUAGUGACGGUACCUGCAGAAAAAGCGCCGGCUAACUACGUG